AUGUCGACCAUCUCCUCCACCACUAUCUCGUCCUACCGAAAGCGGUAUGGUCACGAGAGCAGGGCCACGACUGCCGCGCGAGGGCAAUCCGACGCGCCGGCGAUGCUCUACGCGAGCAGCAAGACCACCGGAGCGUGGAGCGGAACUGUGUCGGCGGCGGAUGAGACUCACGACGUCAGUCUGUCCGGAGCCCUUAACGCCGAUUUUAAAGUCUCUCGCGGCAGCAAUAAGUCGCUUAACGACCGCUUCGUCAGUUACGUAGAGAAGGUGCAGUUGUUGGAGCAGCGCAAUGAGGCUCUGCGCACGGAGCUGGAGCGCUAUCGUGGGAACGGACCCUCGCGCAUCGCCGAGCUGUGCGCGCACGAAGUGGCGGAUCUGCGGCGGCACGUGGACCAGCUGACCAAUGAGAAAGCGCGGGCGGAGAUACAACGGGACAACUUACUCGUGGACAUAGAACGGAUCCGUGCGAAGCUGCAGGAGGAGAUUCUGCAGAGAGAGCAGGCUGAGAGGAGCACACAGAGCUUCAGACAGGAUGUGAACAUUGCUGCUCUAGCACGAGUGGACCUGGAGAGGAAAGUGGAGUCCCUUCAGGACGAAAUUCGGUUCCUGAAGAAGCUCCAUGAAGAGGAGCUGAGAGAGAUACAGGCUCAGAGCCAGCAGCAGUCUGAUCUGACCUCCGCCCUCAGGGAAAUCCAGGUGCAGUACGAGAACCUGGCCUCCAAGAAUGCUCACGUGUCUGAGGAGUGGUACGACUCCAAGUCCUAUCUGUCAUGGCUUAAAUCUCUCCAUAUUGUGGAUGCGGAAUUGCAGUUCGCCGAACUCUCUGAAGUCGCAAACAGAAAUAAAGAAACUCUGCGAGCGGCCAAGCGAGAGGCCAAUGAGUUCCGGUACCAGGUUCAGGCUCUUAACCGUGAAGUGGACGCCCUCAAGGGGACAAACGAGGCUCUGGAGCGACAGAUGAGACAGACAGAGGAGAACUUUGCUCUGGAGUCCACGGCUUAUCACAACACCAUCAGCCGUCUGAAGGAAAACAUCCUGGACCUAAAAGACCAGAUAGCUCGAAACCUGCACGAGUACCAGGACCUGCUCAACGUUAAGAUAGCGUUGGACAUCGAGAUCGCCACCUACAGGAGGCUUAUAGAAGGAUCUGUAACAGACCCUGUGCUGGAGUCCAGAACCUCCACGAAGGUUCUCAUCAAGACCACUGAGAUCAGAGAUGGAGAGCACAAGUCACGCGAGGAAACUUCUAGAUUAUAGUAAUAAAACACGAGAGAGAGAGAGAGAGAGCGAGAGAGAGAGAGGGAGAGAGAGUGCUUAAUGAGUCUACGCAGAACCGUGAAGAACCGGAAUGACCUCCUUCUUUCCCUACUUCGAUUCACACCUCGUCGAAACACACAACACACAACACACAGCAGCAUCAUCCGUCCCUGUGAGGCCUACAGAAAUAACCGCCGUCCCUCAGCUGCUACUUUUCCAGUGCUUUAUUCACUCAGGAGUUGACUGAGUUCUUUCUUCUGAAAUUAACAUUAACGAUAAUAACGUCUGAGAAACCAGACAGCUUUUCACUACUUUGAACUGUUAAGAUGAUUAUUUUAAGCAUUCAACUCUUUUUUUUUUUUUUUUUUUUAAUUAAUAUAGUAGAGAAAUGUUAGGUGAAUUAUUUUUCAUGUAGUUACUGGAUAAUAAGAUCCCAAAUCUUUUGGAAAUGUUUUAGAAGUUAGUGAGCGAAAUUAAGUCAUUUUAAUACAGUAAAUGUUUAACAUCUGGGUUCAAAUCCGAUAGAAAGAAAUCAGUAUAUAAUGUGAAGAUGAGCAGAACAAAGGAUGAGUGUAAAACUUCCUGCUUCUUCACAUUAGGGAUUCUUCAUACUAGUAAAGUUUUAAGAGGGCUUAGGCACAAUGUUUUAUUCUUCACUGUUCAAGGUUCUUUAUUUGUCACAUACGUAUUACAUGCAGACAUGUGGGGCGUUUUUCCUUAGUUCCUCAUGCAACGUUGCGAGAACGGACAGAACCGACAUCAAACUACUGUAACUGAGGACUUAUUAUGAAUAUAAUCAAAUCUAUUAAACUUCUAAUUAAA
Molecule: RNA transcript, 2079 nt
Organism: Tachysurus fulvidraco (yellow catfish)
Lineage: Eukaryota; Metazoa; Chordata; Actinopteri; Siluriformes; Bagridae
Gene: viml
Gene name: vimentin like
Exons: 9
Source: RefSeq, a predicted model, not a curated record